UCCUUUCUACCUCUCUCUCUCUUCUUUCUUUCUUUCUUUCUUUCUUUCUUUCUUUCUUUCUUUCUGUCUGUCUGUCUGUCUGUCUGUCUGUCUGUCUAGCUUAAUGCUUAUCAGUGAGGUCUAUGGAGGUAUGCCAAACAAGCAUUCCUGUCUCAAAGCUGAGGUGGAGGGCAACAGUGGAAAACACACAGCGUUGACCUAUGGCCUCCACACAGAAAUAAAAAAGGAAUUCAUUUGUAGGAGCACAGACAUUCAUUACUGUGGAUGCAAUCUGGGCAGUGCUAUGGGAUUUUCAGAGACACCUUAGUAGAAGUAUCUUUAAAAAAAGAGUCAAGCAUAAGAUGAGAGAUCAUCCCUGGUAGAGGACAUAGUCUUGGCCAGGCGAGACUGGAAUGUUUGAGGACCUACCAAGAGGCAUGUGUAUUCAGAGCAUAAUAAUCUAAGAAGAGAGAACUCUGAGAUGAAGUAGGAGAGGUGAGACAGCAGUAGAACUCUGUACCGAGCUUUAUAGGUAAGGAAAUGAAAAGCUUUCUCAGGUAGCAAAUGGCAAAGCCACUGAGCCCAUUCAAGUCUCUUUGUUCUAUGGUGUUUGUUCAAGAUUUGUUUUCUCAUUUAUUUAAAGCUAAUCUUUCUCUGAAUUCAGGCACCAUGAUGUGCUGUAGGGAUGUAUUUAAGGUGUUCGCUUUCCUGGACUCUGUCUUGUUCUUUUCCCUGAGUCAUGUUACUGCCUUAGAGGUCAAGGGCAACCAAGGGAAAUUCUAUCUACAGGCAACAGAGAAACAAAACUCAGAAUGACGUAUGGUAUAGGAUUGCUUUGCUUACCUGCCAGACUGAAUAAUAAUCCAUAUUUAUUUUUCCCGGUCCCUUAGUUUUUUUUUCCUUUUUUUGUUGUGCUUUGUUUCCACCAGUUUCAGAUUUUUCUAUCUCCAUGCCCUACUGUAGAUAUGAAGAGAAGAUCCCAGACUUUCCAUUUAAAAUGUUAUGCUUUGUGCUGAUCAGAUUGACCAUGAUGGGGCUAGAAUGCUUCUGCUAACUGGCUCAGCUCUGGGCUCCAUACUUCUUCUUGAAGUAACCAUUGUGACAAGGAUACAUUGUGACAAGGAUAUUUCCAGUUACUAUCCUCAGGAACUACAGUAACUUUAGGAAUGUGGAUGCAUGGCAAUGUACCAGAGGGGCAUUGAUGAAGAAUGUUACAUUGUUUCAAUGUUGAGAUUGAGGAUGUGGAUGUUAAACUACUGACAGUGGGUGGAGAUCAAGAAUGCUAAAUGUCUUGAGAUUGCUCAGGAAAUGUCUGUACCAGAUGGGAUUACCCCAUCUGUGUUUUACAUGUGCUUCUGAAGUAUAUGUAGAUGAUAAAAUUUGUAUAAUCAUCUUAACAUAGCAGAUUUUUUCUUCUGGGAUGAUGAUAUAUAUAUAUAUAUAUACACACAUAUAUAUAUAUGCCGUGGACUGGACUCAGUCAAUCCCUCAACCUGCAGGAGAAUCAGGGUUCUGGUACUCAGGUGGGCAAGGAGUUGGCGGAGUGACAAACAGACACAAACACCAGAGAGAGUAUUGAAUCUGAGUGUAAUUUCUCAAAGUGAGCAUCAGACUGAUAUUACAGAAGAAAACAAGGAAGUUAAGUGAUACAUUAAGGUCAUCCAAGGUUCAUUGAGGUUACCCGAUGUAAUAUGUCUCUUUAU
This 1682-nucleotide long non-coding RNA is filed under the name Mus musculus (house mouse). RNAcentral's name for it is "long non-coding RNA chr10:123330088-123331770". Lineage: Eukaryota; Metazoa; Chordata; Mammalia; Rodentia; Muridae. The record is from RNAcentral.